GUCCAUCGCAAGUCACUGCACACGUAUUAAUUCAAUCAGCUCUAUGGUCUAACCCAGGCACAACAGGAAUACAACCUUUUACUACAGAUGUGGGAUUGUUCAUGUCAUCUACUAAUGCAAGAUGGAUCUGAGAACGCUGUCUGGGCUUGGUACCAAGAGCUGGUAUUUCACAGCAGCGACCGCCUCACAGACGAGCUGUGGGAAGCAGGAGGGAGACUCUCUCUUAGGGUGCCACUACUAUGGAGACACAGCUGGGCUGAACAAGAUUUGCUUCAAACGACAACAAGAGAGACAGAAAGUAUCUGGUUCAACCGCUGCCCGAGCAGGCAGGCACCAGAAGAGCUAGCAGCCAAUCCGGCCAUGCUCGAAGCCAGCUCUGCAGCUCAGCCAAUCAGUGACAUCAUUGCUUUCUUUAGCUUGCCCAUGGUGAUGUGAAGAUGAGAAGAAAUAGCAAGGCCCAACCAGUUCUUCAUCUGGAGACAGUUCAACGUUCUGCAAACCAGGACAGUACUACAGAAGGACUAAGUAUAUAGGAAACUUGACUUAUUUAAAUAAGGCAGUGAAAAAAAUAGAAUAUGGGGAGUAAAACAACCUCUGAAGCUAAGUCUGCAUAUAUAAUAACUGGAUCUUCAGGAAUUUUACUGGGAUAAUUAUCCAAAUAAAUUGCAAGCAUUCUAUCCAAAUGGUGAUCUUCUGAGAUAUUUUGAGGGAAAGAGGUAGUAUACCAAAAUGGAAAUACUACGCAAGGGAAAUCUGGGAAGAAAGAGAAUAGAAUGAGGUACAUGUUAGAAAUGGAAAUGGCGAAGACAUCCAUAAAAAUUCAUCAGAGAGCAUUUUACUACUGAGCUGCAAAGGGAAAAACUUAAAAUGGAUAUGAAAAGUGAAGAAAGUGAUCAUAGGAGAAAACCAUUUCAGAUAUCUGUGGAUAUCUCUCCAGAACUUCAUGUAUAUGUGUCUGAUGAUUUGUGAGCCUCAAGUGACUACUCUGUGGAAUCAUCUGUCCUUGCCUUUGAAUUAGCUUUCCCUAGGCCAUGAGUCAACAUUAGUAGUUUAUACAUCCAAAUUGAUGACAAGAGCACCUCAAAGGCAGCAGCCUCAAGGAGCAGCCAUGGCCCCAGACUUGUCGCACGGAUGCAGAAAACUUAAUGGAGGAGGCUGAGGUCAGAAUGGGAAGAGUUUUUAAAAAAUAAAAAGGGGAGCUAAUAUGUGA
Molecule: long non-coding RNA, 1210 nt
Filed under: Homo sapiens (human)
Lineage: Eukaryota; Metazoa; Chordata; Mammalia; Primates; Hominidae
Description: mir-99a-let-7c cluster host gene
Source: RNAcentral